RNAcentral lists this ribosomal RNA (467 nucleotides) under uncultured bacterium. RNAcentral's name for it is "bacterial SSU rRNA". It matches the Rfam family "Bacterial small subunit ribosomal RNA", at positions 28 to 524 of the family's 1533-position model. The record is from RNAcentral.
GAUGAACGCUGGCGGCGUGCCUAACACAUGCAAGUCGAGCGAUUCUCUUCGGAGAAGAGCGGCGGACGGGUGAGUAACGCGUGGGUAACCUGCCCUGUACACACGGAUAACAUACCGAAAGGUAUGCUAAUACGAGAUAAUAUGCUUUUAUCGCAUGGUAGAAGUAUCAAAGCUCCGGCGGUACAGGAUGGACCCGCGUCUGAUUAGCUAGUUGGUAAGGUAACGGCUUACCAAGGCGACGAUCAGUAGCCGACCUGAGAGGGUGAUCGGCCACAUUGGAACUGAGACACGGUCCAAACUCCUACGGGAGGCAGCAGUGGGGAAUAUUGCACAAUGGGCGAAAGCCUGAUGCAGCAACGCCGCGUGAGCGAUGAAGGCCUUCGGUCGUAAAGCUCUGUCCUCAAGGAAGAUAAUGACGGUACUUGAGGAGGAAGCCCGGCUAACUACGUGCCAGCAGCCGCGGUAAU